This 259-nucleotide ribosomal RNA is filed under the name uncultured bacterium. RNAcentral describes it as "partial 16S ribosomal RNA". It matches the Rfam family "Bacterial small subunit ribosomal RNA", at positions 795 to 1052 of the family's 1533-position model. The record is from RNAcentral.
CCACGCCGUAAACGAUGGAUACUAGGUGUGGGAGGUAUCAACUCCUUCCGUGCCGCCGCUAACGCAUUAAGUAUCCCGCCUGGGGAGUACGGUCGCAAGAUUAAAACUCAAAGGAAUUGACGGGGGCCCGCACAAGUAGCGGAGCAUGUGGUUUAAUUCGAAGCAACGCGAAGAACCUUACCUAGACUUGACAUCCUCUGCAUUACCCUUAAUCGGGGAAGUUCCUUCGGGAACAGAGUGACAGGUGGUGCAUGGUUGU